This 458-nucleotide ribosomal RNA is filed under the name uncultured bacterium. RNAcentral's name for it is "bacterial SSU rRNA". It matches the Rfam family "Bacterial small subunit ribosomal RNA", at positions 923 to 1380 of the family's 1533-position model. The record is from RNAcentral.
GCACAAGCGGUGGAGCAUGUGGUUUAAUUCGAAGCAACGCGAAGAACCUUACCAGGUCUUGACAUCCUCUGACACCUCUGGAGACAGAGUUUUCCCCUUCGGGGGACAGAGUGACAGGUGGUGCAUGGUUGUCGUCAGCUCGUGUCGUGAGAUGUUGGGUUAAGUCCCGCAACGAGCGCAACCCUUGUCCUUAGUUGCCAGCAUUUAGUUGGGCACUCUAAGGAGACUGCCGGUGACAAACCGGAGGAAGGUGGGGAUGACGUCAAAUCAUCAUGCCCCUUAUGACCUGGGCUACACACGUGCUACAAUGGAUAGAACAAAGGGCAGCAAAGCCGCGAGGUCAAGCAAAUCCCAUAAAUCUAUUCUCAGUUCGGAUUGCAGGCUGCAACUCGCCUGCAUGAAGCCGGAAUCGCUAGUAAUCGCGGAUCAGCAUGCCGCGGUGAAUACGUUUCCCGGGC